Dromaius novaehollandiae (emu) is the source of this 3473-nucleotide RNA transcript. It is a transcript of the gene named RAD51 paralog B, with no coding region annotated. The record is from RefSeq and is a predicted model, not a curated record. Lineage: Eukaryota; Metazoa; Chordata; Aves; Casuariiformes; Dromaiidae. The transcript has 14 exons.
GGGAGCGGGCGAAGCCGGCGGGUGUUUGAGUAAACUUAGAGGGCGCUGGGGGAGAAACGCCUCUGCCCCGUCUGCUCCGUCGGCGUUCAAGUGUUGGCGGCAAUAAACGAGCUUCCCCAGUCCCGAUAAAGUGGUAAUUUCAAGCCGUCCUGCAGUACCGGUAUCGGUGUGUAUAGGGGAGCAUGGCUGCUAAGAAACUGAGAAGAGCAAGGUUGUCUCAGGAGCUGUGUGAAAGGCUGAGUCGCCAUCAAAUCACUACCUGUCAGGACUUCUUAUGUCUUUCACUAUUGGACCUAAUGAAAGUGACGGGGCAGAGCUAUGGUAAUGUGCAGAAGCUUCUUUGUAAAGUCAGCCUAGCUUGUGCUCCCAAAAUGCAGACAGCUUAUGAAAUGAAAGUGAGGAGGGCUGUCAACCCCUCCUCAGCCUUCUUAUCAACCAGCUUGCAUGGUCUGGAUAAAGUCUUGCAUGGUGGAGUGCCCUGUGGAUCCCUCACAGAGAUAACUAGCCCACCAGGUUGUGGCAAAACUCAGUUUUGUAUUAUGAUGAGUGUUCUGGCUACACUACCUAUAAGCAUGGGAGGACUGAAUGGGGCUGUUAUAUACAUUGACACAGAGUCUGCGUUCAGUGCUGAAAGGUUGGUUGAGAUAGCAGGAAACAGAUUCCCUGCUUAUUUUGACUCAGAUGAAAAGCUGUUUUCCAUGACCUGUAGCGUUUACCUGUAUCGCGAGUUGACCUGUGGCAGUGUACUGAAAAGGAUUAAGUCUUUGGAAGAAGAAAUUAUUUCAAAGAAAGUUAAGCUUAUAAUAAUCGACUCUGUUGCUUCAGUCGUCAGAAAGGAGUUUGAUACAAAACUCCAAGGCAAUCUGACAGAGAGAAGUAACUUUUUGGCUAGAGGAGCAUCACUGUUGAAGUAUUUGGCAGAGGAGUUCUCAAUACCAGUUAUCUUGACGAAUCAAAUUACCACACGGCUGAGCAAUGGCCCUGCGAUCCAGGCAGACCUGGUGUCUCCAGCUGAUGAUUUGUCCCUGUCUGAAGUCCUGGAUUCCUCACUCCAAAGCCAUCCUUUGGUCAGGCUGCCAAAGAAUAGGUUGGAAAGCAGCAGGAUUCUGCUGGAAAUCUGCUUGGCAGGAGCCUCUGGAGGCAGGAAGAGGGAAUCUGGUUGUGUGACAGCAGCACUUGGCAAUACAUGGAGUCACAGCGUCAACACCAGGCUCAUACUACAGUAUCACGACUUGCCAACAAGACAGAUCCGGGUUGCUAAAUCCCCUGUUGCUCCAUUCUCCACUUUCUUCUACACCAUUGAGAAAUCGGGCUUUGUUCUUCAAGGAGACCCGAUUUUGAAAGUGACAGGAGGAAUAAAGCAGAAGUGACUAGACCUUCACAGGAUUGCACAUGCAGCCCCAAAGACUACUCUACCUACGAAGACAGCUCUGCUUGGUCAAGUACUCUGAGUGCAGGAGAAGGAACCCAGAGCGCCUGCAUUCUAACCCUGCCUCUGACACAGAGAUGUUGAGAAGAUGCUUUAACUUUCGUCUCCAGACUGUUUUGCUGAGUGGCUAAGCAGGAAAAUAGUUCCUAGUUAAAUGCUUUGCAAAAGUUCGGUGGGCUUAAUUAGAUAUUGGCCUAUGAGUUAGCAACAUUAAAAGUACAAGCAGCAGUAUCAGUGCUGAGGAUUUUAACCACAGUCAUCUGUUUCAGUGUCUCUCUAAUUCUUUUAACUUAAUUAACAGAAAUUAAUCUUUUAACUUGAUAAGUUAAUAGUUUUACAGAUUAGAGUCUGUGAAAGACACCAUAGCAGAUCUCCCCCAAAAUGUAGUUGUAUCUCAUUGUAAUUAUGGAUAAGAAAUUUACUUCAUGCAUUAGUAAAAGAGGAAAGUCAGAAUACCUUGCCUUUCUCAACUACUUGGCAUUAAAGUAUCCAAAAACCUACAGCUUCAGGCUGUGGUUCUGCACUGAGUCUGUAGACUUCACUUUAUACAAAUGAGUGGUCAUUCUGCCUGAAUCAAUAAAGCAUUACCUAGUUGUAGAAAGCACUUUCUAGCUAUAGAUCUCAAAAGAACUUCACAAAGAAGGGCACAAGUACUAUUAUCCUCAUUUUAGAGUUGAAAUUGCGUAAUACAGCAAAUGGUAGAAAGUGAUAUUAACCAGCAGGGGUUUUCUGGCUCCCUUCUCCCCACUCUGACAAAUGGGGGCUGUAAUAGUGAUCUCUGCACCCUUCAAUUUAAAAUAUGGAAAGAGGGCGAUAAUGAUCCUUUAAAUAAAGCCUAUUUAUCAUUGCUGCUUAAAUCAAGGGAAAUGCAGAAAAACAGCAGCGUGACUGAAGAUCCAGUCAGUUUUGUAUUCCAUGUUUAAUUAGGUCUGUUGCUUCUGCAACAUAGGUAAAAGUAUUUUUAAUAUCUAAGUCCAAAUCCAGAUCCAAAUCCAGUGUCGCCGACUGCACAUGCGCAUCUUUUCAUGACAGUGAAGCUGCAUGCAAGUAUGAGAUGGCAGAGAUGAUACCACUUUGUGUCUCUUCAAGAUUUAUAAAUGGUGCAGGAGCGAAAGGGUUAAGAAAAACCCUCUCCAUAUACCUGGUAUAUAAAACUGUCAUGUAAUCAAAUGAGAGGAAUGUACUCCACUGUGUACAUUAGCAAACACUCCAUGCAAGCUGGCUGGCUGAGGCUCAGGGUUUUCAGUGCUGCCUUGCACUACAAAGCCCUCCUUUGUUCUCUCAGCUCUGUUUUAAAUAUCUGAUGACUAUUCCACACCAUGUCAGUGCCAAAUCCCCAGCUUCACUGCAAACUCUGUACAACAGCACAUUGUGGGCUGAUCGGAUGGGGAUGGGCUGGUGGAGUGUGGGUAUCACCCCUUUCUUUGCUUCUCAGGCAGGUCCUCUCACUAACUCUGCCAUCUCCCUGUAAUUUCUGUAGCUCCUUGUGCAGCCACCUGGAUAGAUUUCAAAGCCACAAGGAAUAACUUCCGAGUGCAGAAACUGAACUUGGAUCCUGACAUGGCAACUGCACUCUGCAAGUGUGCAUCAGUAUGGGUGUAGCCUUGGUUCAGCCGAGGAAGGGCAAAUGAAUCAAAGAGUGUUCUUGCAACAGCUAUUUUUGUUGAAACUUGUUGCACCUAUACCAUUGUUGGCUGGAUCUUGCAUGAGCUUGCUAGCUAAGUGGGAUCGGGCUUUGAAAAAAUCAGAUGAAAGAUUUCCUAUGAACACACAGGAGGGCAGGAAGUGAUGCCGAUGACUCAGGAGACGAUGGAAAGGACCAAACAAAUUUAACCUGGGAAGGAACCAGUCCUGCCCUGCAGAACAUAAAAGUGAGGAACACUGCCUUAAAAGAUCUUUUACCUGAUGCUGCGUUACCCAGAACUACUGAUGAGACUCCUAGCAAUGCAUCCAGCCUACAGAAAGGCAAAUGCAACCUGGACUAAGAAAUGAAUGAAUGAAUGAAUAAAUGACAACACUGUUUUCUCAAAAAUCCAGCGAAGCA